Molecule: ribosomal RNA, 443 nt
Filed under: uncultured bacterium
Lineage: Bacteria
Description: partial 16S ribosomal RNA
Rfam family: Bacterial small subunit ribosomal RNA
Source: RNAcentral
CCUACGGGAGGCAGCAGUGGGGGAUAUUGGGCAAUGGGCGCAAGCCUGACCCAGCAACGCCGCGUGAAGGAAGACGGCUUUCGGGUUGUAAACCUCUGUUCGCAGGGACGAAGCAAGUGACGGUACCUGAGGACUAAGCCCCGGCUAACUACGUGCCAGCAGCCGCGGUAAUACGUAGGGGGCAAGCGUUAUCAGGAUUUACUGGGUGUAAAGGGAGCGUAGGCGGGAAAGCAAGUCAGAUGUGAAAUCCAGGGGCUCAACCUGUGGCCUGCAUUUGAAACUGUCUGUCUUGAGUACAGGAGAGGCAGGCGGAAUUCCUAGUGUAGCGGUGAAAUGCGUAGAUAUUAGGAGGAACACCAGUGGCGAAGGCGGUCUGCUGGACAGCAACUGACGCUGAGGCUCGAAAGCGUGGGGAGCAAACAGGAUUAGAUACCCUAGUAGUC